RNAcentral lists this long non-coding RNA (823 nucleotides) under Monodelphis domestica (gray short-tailed opossum). RNAcentral describes it as "lncRNA (ENSMODG00000044034.1)". The record is from RNAcentral. Lineage: Eukaryota; Metazoa; Chordata; Mammalia; Didelphimorphia; Didelphidae.
CUUUUAUCUGAUAUUUUAAGUUUUGUAAAGUGCUUUACAAAUAUCUCAUCUGAUCCUCACAAGAACCCUAGGAGAUAGAUGUUAUUGUCUCCAUUAUUUUCUUUCUUUCUUUCUUUCUUUCUUUCUUUCUUUCUUUCUUUCUUUCUUUCUUUCUUUCUUUCUUUCUUUCUUUCUUUCUUUCUUUCUUUCUUUCUUUCUUUCUUUCUUUCUUUCUUUCUUUCUUUCUUUCUUUCUUUCUUUCUUUCUUUCUUUCUUUCUUUCUUUCUUUCUUUCUUUCUUCCUUUCUUCCUUUCUUCCUUCCUUCCUUCCUUCUUUCUUUCUUUCUUUCUUUGUUUCAUUCAGUCAAUCUUUCUAUAGUUCUUUCUGUCUUUCUUUCUUUCUUUCUUUCUUUCUUUCUUUCUUUCUUUCUUUCUUUCUUUCUUUCCUUCCUUCCUUCCUCCCUCCUUCCCUCCUUCCCUCCCUCCCUCCCUCCCUCCCUCUCUCUCUCUCUCUCUCUCUCUCUCUCUCUCUCUCUCUCUCUCUCUCUCUCUCUCUCUCUCUCUCUCUCUCUCUCUCUCCUUCCUUCCUUCCUUCCUUCCUUCCUUUCUUUCUUUCUUUCUUUCUUUCUUUCUUUCUUUCUUUCUUUCUUUCUUUCUUUCUUUCUUUCUUUCUUUCUUUCUUUCUUUCUUUCUUUCUUUCUUUCUUUCUUUCUUUCUUUCUUUCUUUCUUUCUUUCUUUCUUUCUUUCUUUCUUUCUUUCUUUCUUUCUUUCUUCCUUUCUUUCUUCCUUUCUUUCUUCCUUUCUUUCCACCCAUGCAUCCAUUCAUCUAUGUAUGUAUGUAUGU